GGUGAGGGGGAGGAGGAGGGAGCCCACCUCCAGAGGCCUGCCAAGCCAAGGGUUCCAAGAGAUACACCAGUGUCUGGCUCAUCUGACUAAAGAAGCUCCGGAGAAAGCUGCCCCAGGACUAUGUUAGUAACUACACCCAAUUGCUCCCCAGGAGCAGUUCAGAGCAUCAGAACUGCCAGUCCAAGUUCAGGCUGGUGUGAGCCCAUGUCCUAGGGGUGCCUGCCAGCCACCUGGAGCAGCAGGCUCCCUCACCUGCAGGUACAAGAAUUCCUCUAUAAGCAUCCUCAGGGAGACAAAUCCCAGCUGGCGCACUCAAAGCAGCCUUGCAUUUCCUCUUCUGGAUGAAGUCCAGCUGAAAGAGCUCAAGGGGGGGGGGGGGUUCCUUGGGCUGCCCCAUAGGCAAGGGGCAGUGUGGCAAACGUGUCCCCUCUUGGAUCCAACCCCUUCCUACCCCUUGCUAGUGAAGAAUUGACCAGCAUGCCCCCCCAACACACACCCUCAUCUUCUUCCCAAGGGACUCUGCUGUUGAUUUCAUAAAUCUACUUUAAGUAGGAAAUAUGUAUUUCUGUGAGAAUGUAUUUCUGUCAGUGGGUAGAAGUGGAAUUCUCUUCCUUAUUUCACAAUGGAGAUGAGCUCUGAAACUUCCAGGGGCUCCAAGUAAACCGUUAGAGCACACAUUUCCAACAUGAGCUAUUGGCUUUCUCUGGAAAGGGGAGUCGAGGCCGUUUUGGGGAUUAGAAGGAUGGGAGUGGGGAGAAUUCUUUCAUUCUGGGAACGAGUGGUUUAAUUUCAGAAGCCUCCAGAGCUCUGUGUUUUCUAUGCUGUUCUAGUGUGGAUUAUGGUUUAAGCUGUUAUUAUGAUAACAACCAAUUGUUGUAGGAGAAAUUCUCCACACUGUUUCCCCUCAAUAGGUAGAGGAACGUGGUACCUUUUAUAAAGGAAUCAGUCUCUCCCAUGUGUCUCUGGCCACAUGUGGCCAGUGCUGGCUUUCUUGAUACUUGAGGAAAAGGAGAUGUUUUAAGAAAGUGUCUUUAUAAGAUCAUCCCUUGGGAUGCUGAGAGGGACUUGGUUAAUAGCAAUAAAAACUGAUUAAAAGUC
Antechinus flavipes (yellow-footed antechinus) is the source of this 1098-nucleotide long non-coding RNA. RefSeq lists it as uncharacterized. The transcript has 3 exons. The record is from RefSeq and is a predicted model, not a curated record. Lineage: Eukaryota; Metazoa; Chordata; Mammalia; Dasyuromorphia; Dasyuridae.